This is a long non-coding RNA of Dendronephthya gigantea, 471 nucleotides long. RefSeq lists it as uncharacterized. NCBI's taxonomy places the organism in Eukaryota, Metazoa, Cnidaria, Anthozoa, Malacalcyonacea, Nephtheidae. The record is from RefSeq and is a predicted model, not a curated record. The transcript is spliced from 3 exons.
UCUCGCGCAGUAUUAAUCAGCAUUUUACUAACCAAAAUAAAGCCAGAAAGAGAUGUUUUUGUCGAGCUAUAUAUUUUACAAAUUUUUAACAUUUAAAUUACUUUAAAGAAGGAGAAUAACAUAUCCAGAUAAUCAACUGAAAGCAACUAUGGCUCCUCCCGACUCAGGGACGCAGCGUCAGAUACAGCGACAAAGACAAACAAGUACAGAUGAAGUUAUGGUUGAAACACCAGAUAUUGUGACCUUCUUCAUUGCUGAUAGAGUUAGGGAACAAGGACUUGUUGUACCAGAAGAAAUGAGAGCCAUUUCAGUCAAUGGUGAAGUGGCGUCAUGCUUAAGACAGGUUGGCGAUGAUUUAGAAAACAAUCUCGAACUUAACAACCUUAUUGGCCAAAUAAAAGUCACGCCGCAGACCGCAUUCGAUACAUUUGCGGACGUAGCAAAUAAAAUAUUCGCUGAUGGUGUGUACAA